RNAcentral lists this long non-coding RNA (1074 nucleotides) under Felis catus (domestic cat). RNAcentral describes it as "lncRNA (ENSFCAG00000040378.2)". The record is from RNAcentral. Lineage: Eukaryota; Metazoa; Chordata; Mammalia; Carnivora; Felidae.
UGAUUAACCUUUAUUUAUGGAUAAAUUCAAUCUUUUUCAUUCUAUCUUAUAAUAUAAAACUAUUGUACAAUUUUCUAAUAAUUCAUAUUCUGUUUUUAAAUGAUGAUUUCCAUUGUAGUCCAUUUUCCAUCUAUAUUCAAGUACCUUGAAUCACCAUGAGACUUACAAGAAAAUAGUCCUCAAGCAAAACUGCAUAACAAGCCACUUCACUUGUUGGGGCAACAAUAGUCACUUAAUAAAGAAAAAAAAUAAUGUGCAAAAACAUGCUUCUAUAAAGGAUCCAAAUCAGCAUCCUCUUGAAGAUUUCACGGGUGAUACAGUGGAUUGAUGUGAAGCAAAUUCUGAGACCACGAUGUCUACCCGAAGGAGGGUUCUCCAAGAAACUUUUGGGCAAAUUUGAAAAGACAUCUGGGGAUGUUUGAAGUUUGCCUCCUGGGGAAAAAAAAACAUUCAGUGUUCCUGGUUUUCAGUAAUGCUGCAAGAUAUUCUAAUAGGAACCAAAAGACACCCUCUUCCACAUCCACCAUGUCAGCCUAUUUUUGAUCAAGACAUUCCCAGGACUGAUCAGAAAGAAAAGUGAUAUUCAUGCCAUCCAAAUUCUGAGGGAUGCAUCUACCAUAACUUUGAGAUCUUAAGAAAAAGUAAAGAAGCUCUUUUAACAGGUAUGGCAAAAUAUUUGUGUUAUGACCGUGUUUUUGUGCACCCAGCUAGGAAAAGCAAACUCCUGCAAAUCUUGCAGAUUCAAGAUGUGUCUGUGUUUGUCUCUGAUGCAUUUUUUUAAAACCUUUUUUCUUUUCAAAUGUUAAUUCCCCCAGUAGAGAUAAUCUGUUCCCUUUCAUGUCUCCCCCUUGGGCAAUACAUUUCGAAGAUUAAUAUAAUAUGGAUAACAUGCCUGUGUGUCUUGCCUAAUUCAAAAUGCUGAGGAUAUUAUUUCUGGUUUAGGGAGUUUGGAGAAAUUUAUAUCUAGGAGGUUUGGAAUGCUCAGUUAUCAGAGAAGUUUUGCUGCAUCCCUGGCCCUGGCAGUUUGCCCAAGUUCCUAGCAGGUCAUUAAUAAAGGCUACAAUUGCUCUUACA